This 1226-nucleotide long non-coding RNA is filed under the name Homo sapiens (human). RNAcentral describes it as "HSALNT0351549". The record is from RNAcentral. Lineage: Eukaryota; Metazoa; Chordata; Mammalia; Primates; Hominidae.
CUCAUUAUCUCUUGCCUGCUGUCAUGUAAGACGUGCCUUUCCCUUUUCCAUCAUGAUGUGAGGCCCUCCAGCCAUGUGUAACUCAGGCAGCAGCCAAAACAUACCACACAUCUACAGUGAGACGCUUACCACAACAAUUCUGUGAAAAAGGUGUGGAUGUUCCUAUUUCACAGAAAAGGAAAUAAAAGCUCAGAGGAACUAAAGAAUUUUCUACACGUCACCUGUUGGAAAGAUAUAUAAUAAUUCAAGUGCAAAUCCUGUGUCAACUUGUGGAAGACAAAAGCAUAUAAGACAUGGCUGUUGACCUAGUAAAGCUCACGGUAUCAUGGUAUACAAACAGGAGUAGAAAUGGCUGUAAUUCAAAGCCUUGGCUUACAGCAAAGAUGAAAGUCAGUUAAAAGGAAUAAAUCAUGCACCAAAACUUAAUGUUAAGUGUAUUAUUUAGAUUCCCUUAAAUAUUUCGUCUUUGGUAAAAUUUGCAGUUUCUACUGUUUCAUUCUUUUAAGUUUUAAACAAAAACUACAAACGGUCACAUAGAAUGACAGAAUUGACAUAACCCAGAUUUAAUUUCUUUUGUUUAUAUUCAUUGUGUUAUUAUUUAUUAUUUAUUUUGAAUCUACUUUUUAAUAUGUAGUAUCACAGGGGUUUGAGACAGGAACUGCAGAGGUUGGUUGAGCCCUUCUCAACCAUUGAAAAUUUACUAUUGCAGAAGAUGCAUGACUCAGAGUCUGCAUGUGUUGGAGAAGCCAGGAGGGAACUAUUGUAUAAUUAGUAUUUGUAGUAACAUCUUUGUUGAGUACAAUGCUUAUUAAAUACUAAGCAAAAAUCAUGUUGUAAGUCAAAGCUCAUGUAUUAAUAUAAUUAAUAGUUACCACAGCAUUUUUUUACAACUUAGAGGGGAAAAUGCCCCAUGUCCUCUUACUGGCAGAAAAGGUCACCUCUAACCACUAAGUCGGUUGGAGAGUUAUAUUCUCUUACUGCCAACACUGGGAAUGUGGAGUGCUCCAAUUUCCCACACUUGGUAUGCCACUCAAUCUACUUAUGCUGAUAACUAUCUAUGUAUUGUUGUGAAUUGGAUUUAUAGACUAGACUGCUGUUAUAUAAACUGUAAUGAUGUCCCAAAAGACAAGAUUAUUUUAGUGUAGUGCAUAGGAUCAGACAAGAAUGCAGCUAUAAUAACGCCAGAAGAACACAAGUUUAGCAAAUUGAACUCAAGGAACCCCUAG